Molecule: unclassified non-coding RNA, 1509 nt
Filed under: Hevea brasiliensis (rubber tree)
Lineage: Eukaryota; Viridiplantae; Streptophyta; Magnoliopsida; Malpighiales; Euphorbiaceae
Source: RNAcentral
AGAGUAACAAAUAUUUUGAGAUCGAGAGUACGUUUUUUUUAAGAAAAAGAAAAAAUUAUAAAUUAUUCGAUGAACUCAAGUGGACUAUUUGUAAGUAGCUUAUUCAGUUAUGUAUAUAACUGUCAUCCAUAAGGACAAUUGUACUUUUUCUUCUUCUUCUCUGAGCUAAAACCCUAAAGUCUUCUCAAAAAAAUGGAGUCGGAGAAACCCCAAAAUCCAUCUCCAAUGGAACCACAAGAAGAAGGCAGCAACAAAAUCUCCAAAAAAGAAGCCGCCAAGCUGGAGCGUCAGCGCCGCCGUCAAGAGGCAGCCGCCGCCGCCGCCGCCACUGCUGUCUCCACUGUCUCCAUUGAAGAAUCUGAUCCACUUUCCGGAAACUACGGUGACGUAGAGCUGAACGAUCUGCAAUCUAAGGCCGUGACGGGUCGAAAGUGGACUGAAGUUGGGUCCAUCGCGCCAGAAAUGAAGGACCGGGUGGUCUUGGUUCGGGGGAGGGUACAGACGAUUCGUCCUGUUGGGAAAAAGAUAGCUUUUGUGGUUGUGAGGGAACGAGGAUUUACGGUGCAGUGUGUAUUGACUGUGAAGCCUGAAUUGGUUAGUUCACAAAUGGUGAAAUAUGCUACUAGUUUGAGCAAAGAGUCCAUUAUUGAUGUUGAAGGUGUUGUUACAAUACCAGAGAAGCCAAUUACUGGUGCCACUCAACAACAGGUGGAAGUUCAAAUAAGCAAACUUUAUUGUGUCAACAGGGCUGUGCCCACUCUACCGAUUAAUAUUGAGGAUGCUGCUAGAAGCGAGGUGGAGAUAGAACAAGCUUUAGAGAAAGGAGAGCAGCUUGUUCGUGUAAAUCAGGAUACUCGCUUAAACUUCAGAAUACUAGACAUGCGCACACCUGCAAAUCAAGGAAUCUUCCGCAUUCAAUGUCAAAUCGAAAAUAUAUUCAGGCAGUUUUUGCUCUCUGAAGGAUUUGUAGGAAUCCAUACUCCAAAAUUGAUUGGAGGGUCUAGUGAAGGAGGUUCAGCUGUUUUCCGAUUAGAUUAUAAAGGUCAACCUGCAUGUCUGGCGCAGUCACCUCAACUUCACAAACAAAUGGCAAUAUGUGGUGAUUUUGGCCGUGUAUUUGAAGUAGGCCCCGUCUUUAGGGCAGAAGAUUCUUUUACACAUAGACAUCUGUGCGAGUUUACAGGUCUUGAUGUUGAAAUGGAGAUCAAGGAACAUUAUUCAGAGGUCAUGGAUAUUGUUGACCGCUUAUUUGUGGCCAUGUUUGAUAGCUUGAAUGAGAAAUGCAAAAAGGAACUUGAAGCCGUUGGAAAGCAAUACCCUUUUGAACCUCUGAAGUAUUUGCGAAAGACCUUACGACUUACAUUUGCUGAGGGGAUUCAAAUGCUAAAGGAAGCUGGUGUUGAAGUUGAUCCUCUUGGGGACCUAAAUACAGAAUCAGAAAGAAAGCUUGGGCAGCUUGUUGCGGAGAAGUAUGGAACUGAAUUCUAUAUACUUCACAAGUACCCACAG